RNAcentral lists this ribosomal RNA (815 nucleotides) under Streptacidiphilus sp. RODXS4. RNAcentral describes it as "bacterial SSU rRNA". It matches the Rfam family "Bacterial small subunit ribosomal RNA", at positions 56 to 887 of the family's 1533-position model. The record is from RNAcentral. Lineage: Bacteria; Bacillati; Actinomycetota; Actinomycetes; Kitasatosporales; Streptomycetaceae.
UGCAGUCGACGGUGAAGCCCUUCGGGGUGGAUCAGUGGCGAACGGGUGAGUAACACGUGGGCAAUCUGCCCUGCAUUCUGGGACAAGCCUUGGAAACGGGGUCUAAUACCGGAUACGACGCAUCUCCGCAUGGGGUGUGCGUGGAAAGCUCCGGCGAUGCAGGAUGAGCCCGCGGCCUAUCAGCUUGUUGGUGGGGUAAUGGCCUACCAAGGCGACGACGGGUAGCCGGCCUGAGAGGGCGACCGGCCACACUGGGACUGAGACACGGCCCAGACUCCUACGGGAGGCAGCAGUGGGGAAUAUUGCACAAUGGGCGGAAGCCUGAUGCAGCGACGCCGCGUGGGGGAUGACGGCCUUCGGGUUGUAAACCUCUUUCAGCAGGGAAGAAGCGCAAGUGACGGUACCUGCAGAAGAAGCACCGGCUAACUACGUGCCAGCAGCCGCGGUAAUACGUAGGGUGCGAGCGUUGUCCGGAUUUAUUGGGCGUAAAGAGCUCGUAGGCGGCCUGUCGCGUCGGAUGUGAAAGCCCGGGGCUUAACUCCGGGUCUGCAUUCGAUACGGGCAGGCUGGAGUGUGGUAGGGGAGAUCGGAAUUCCUGGUGUAGCGGUGAAAUGCGCAGAUAUCAGGAGGAACACCGGUGGCGAAGGCGGAUCUCUGGGCCAUUACUGACGCUGAGGAGCGAAAGCGUGGGGAGCGAACAGGAUUAGAUACCCUGGUAGUCCACGCCGUANACGUUGGGAACUAGGUGUGGGUCACAUUCCACGUGGUCCGCGCCGCAGCUAACGCAUUAAGUUCCCCGCCUGGGGAGUACGGCC